Antechinus flavipes (yellow-footed antechinus) is the source of this 545-nucleotide long non-coding RNA. RefSeq lists it as uncharacterized. The transcript is spliced from 4 exons. The record is from RefSeq and is a predicted model, not a curated record. Lineage: Eukaryota; Metazoa; Chordata; Mammalia; Dasyuromorphia; Dasyuridae.
AGGAAGGAAGGAAGAAAGGAAAGAAGGAAGGAAAGGAAGGAAGGAAGGAAAGGAGGAAAGAAGAAAGGAAGGGAGGGAAGAAAAGAAAUAGUUUUAUUCUCAAGAUGCAGUGAGCUCACGAGGCAGCACUGAGACAUAAUGAAAGUAGCAGCCGCCAUAAAUCUCCAGGGCUGCCGAGGUCACUUCAGAGAAAUCGCCUGCUGAGCAAAUACACACCAGCUAAGCGGAGACAUACUGAGGGGAAAGAAAGACCAGCUGUAAUAAACACCAGCAGGUCCGCGGAGACCAGGGCCAAACCAGAUAAGGAAGCUAAAGAUUCAGGAAUGAUUUCUUUAUUUCCAUCCUGAUGUGACAGCAAAACUGGGAUUAGAACUUCUCUUCCAAUUCUUUCCAGGAGAUUCUUUAUAUUACAUCUCAUCAUAUUAUCUAAAGACAGCUUUGGCAGCUGCAUCUCUAAUAAUUAUUGCAGUGUUCUCAGAAACCUGGGCUGGAGUUUUCUGACAGUCAAGGUUUAUUGCAGCCGAAAUAAAGGAGGGUGAUUUCUU